This 497-nucleotide ribosomal RNA is filed under the name uncultured bacterium. RNAcentral's name for it is "partial 16S ribosomal RNA". It matches the Rfam family "Bacterial small subunit ribosomal RNA", at positions 28 to 507 of the family's 1533-position model. The record is from RNAcentral.
GAUGAACGCUGGCGGCGUGCCUAAUACAUGCAAGUCGAGCGAACGGACGAGAAGCUUGCUUCUCUGAUGUUAGCGGCGGACGGGUGAGUAACACGUGGAUAACCUACCUAUAAGACUGGGAUAACUUCGGGAAACCGGAGCUAAUACCGGAUGAUAUUUUGAACCGCAUGGUUCAAAAGUGAAAGACGGUCUUGCUGUCACUUAUAGAUGGAUCCGCGCUGCAUUAGCUAGUUGGUAAGGUAACGGCUUACCAAGGCAACGAUGCAUAGCCGACCUGAGAGAGUGAUCGGCCACACUGGAACUGAGACACGGUCCAGCCUCCUACGGGAGGCAGCAGUAGGGAAUCUUCCACAAUGGGCGAAAGCCUGACGGAGCAACGCCGCGUGAUUGAUGAAGUUCUUCGGAUCGUAAAACUCUGUUAUUAGGGAAGAACAUAUGUAUAAGUAACUGUGCACAUCUUGACGGUACCUAAUCAGAAAGCCACGGCUAACUUCGUG